CUAAAAGUGUCCAUUUCGUAGAUUGGCAAUGCUUUUAAAUGAUGCUUGUAACCUUUGUGAAGAAAUAAAGCUUCUGAAGAUGUGGUUUGUGGAAAUGAUAUGGUAUCUUGAGUUCGAGAUGUUCUUGGAGUGCGGAUUUUCCCUGACGCUUUUUUUUUUCUUUUGUAUUGUUGAUUUCUACCAUUUUCUCUUUCUUCACCAUUAGACAUGGUAGCAACAAAGCCCAAUGGAGAAGGAAUCUUCAAACUUACAGUGGGAGAGAUUUGCAACAGUAUGGAGCAAGAUGAGGGCCUUCAAUCCCUGUACCAGCUAAGAGUUGAAGCAUCAUCAAAUGCAUCAGGUCCUUCAUUCUGAAAUGUAAUGUUGCGGCCACAACUCCUAAUGAGGGGAAGUUAAGGGUGUUCCUGGUGCAUACAGUGAAUCAGCAGCUGCCAAGGCCUACCCAAGUUGUGAAGCAGUUCCCUGCGAACAAUUUGAAACUGCCUUCAAUGUGCAAACAGGUACUACCAUUAAUGUUGGAAUGACUUCUUGGCACUUGGUUGGGGUGGUAGCUUUGAAUUAUGCUUGGACGGGGAUUUGUUGCAUGGAACAAGUGGGCCUUGGGAGACUUUUGGGAACUUGUACUUCGCUCAUAAUCCAGAGUUCGAGCUGAAGAAUGUUGAGCUCUUGUACUUGAUUUAUUUGGAGACCAAAUCCAAAUUUUAUUUCAGGUAAUUCAUUGAAAACUCGGAAGUUUGCUGGCUAGUUUCGAAGCUUAGGAUGCAACUGCAUCAAUCAUUUUAUGCAGUUAAAUCCAAGCUGCCCAGAGUUUAUUUCUUGAUCAAAUUUUGGUUUACACGAUAGUUUAAAUUAAUCGUUAUAUUCACUAAGAAGGUGAGAAUUAGCUUAUAGUUUGGAAGAUUUACCUCAUAUGAUUUGUAAGA
Magnolia sinica is the source of this 923-nucleotide long non-coding RNA. RefSeq lists it as uncharacterized. The transcript has 6 exons. Lineage: Eukaryota; Viridiplantae; Streptophyta; Magnoliopsida; Magnoliales; Magnoliaceae. The record is from RefSeq and is a predicted model, not a curated record.